RNAcentral lists this ribosomal RNA (572 nucleotides) under uncultured bacterium. RNAcentral's name for it is "partial 16S ribosomal RNA". It matches the Rfam family "Bacterial small subunit ribosomal RNA", at positions 355 to 919 of the family's 1533-position model. The record is from RNAcentral.
UGGGGAAUUUUGGACAAUGGGCGAAAGCCUGAUCCAGCAAUGCCGCGUGUGUGAAGAAGGCCUUCGGGUUGUAAAGCACUUUUGUCCGGAAAGAAAUCCUUGGCUCUAAUACAGUCGGGGGAUGACGGUACCGGAAGAAUAAGCACCGGCUAACUACGUGCCAGCAGCCGCGGUAAUACGUAGGGUGCAAGCGUUAAUCGGAAUUACUGGGCGUAAAGCGUGCGCAGGCGGUUUGCUAAGACCGAUGUGAAAUCCCCGGGCUCAACCUGGGAACUGCAUUGGUGACUGGCAGGCUAGAGUAUGGCAGAGGGGGGUUAGAAUUCCACGUGUAGCAGUGAAAUGCGUAGAGAUGUGGAGGAAUACCGAUGGCGAAGGCAGCCCCCUGGGCCAAUACUGACGCUCAUGCACGAAAGCGUGGGGAGCAAACAGGAUUAGAUACCCUGGUAGUCCACGCCCUAAACGAUGUCAACUAGUUGUUGGGGAUUCAUUUCCUUAGUAACGUAGCUAACGCGUGAAGUUGACCGCCUGGGGAGUACGGUCGCAAGAUUAAAACUUAAAUGAAUUGACGGGGU